ACAAAGGCCCUUUUCAGGGCCACCACAGCCUUCGCGGAAAGAACUG
Erinaceus europaeus (western European hedgehog) is the source of this 46-nucleotide non-coding RNA. NCBI's taxonomy places the organism in Eukaryota, Metazoa, Chordata, Mammalia, Eulipotyphla, Erinaceidae. The record is from Rfam.